CUUUGAUUGGCAUUCCUUUAGCCACUGGAGAAGAGGAAUGUUUUUUGCAUGCUUUUGUGUCCUAUGAUCACAGUGCUGAAAAUAAACUGAAAAAGGCAAUAAAUCUGAGUUAAAUUUAUUGAGUAUUCUCAUCAAUGACAUCGAUUCGACCGACUGGCCGGAGGACGUUGAUGUGAUCCUGGUGCAGCGACCUCAUAGCGAUGGAAGCAGACGUGGACAUCAGGAGAAGCAUGAAGACCUGUGCACACCCUCAAACCAAGCCGGGGCCCACGGAGCUGUGGCUGCUCUCACGGCGUGGAUGCUCUCUGGAGCAGCGCCUGCCCUUCUCAGAAGUCAGGGGCCUCCGGGUAAGAGAGUUUCCUUGGCAUGUGCCCAGGGACUAUGGCUCAGCGAGGACCUCCUCACUGGUGAGAGCCGGGCAGGCGGGCGGUGUGGCUGCCCACUUUCUGGGAGUGACUACUUCUGUGAUUCUGUCCUCGUCACCGGUGCUGUCCCGGGCUCUGCAGGCUGAAUUCACACGAGUAGACAGGGGCCCGCGUGCUCCUGUGCUCUGGA
Molecule: long non-coding RNA, 555 nt
Filed under: Ictidomys tridecemlineatus (thirteen-lined ground squirrel)
Lineage: Eukaryota; Metazoa; Chordata; Mammalia; Rodentia; Sciuridae
Description: lncRNA (ENSSTOG00000032973.1)
Source: RNAcentral